GAUGAACGCUGGCGGCGUGCUUAACACAUGCAAGUCGAACGAAGCAUUUAGAACAGAUUACUUCGGUUUGAAGUUCUUUAUGACUGAGUGGCGGACGGGUGAGUAACGCGUGGGUAACCUGCCUUGUACUGGGGGAUAGCAGCUGGAAACGGCUGGUAAUACCGCAUAAGCGCACAAUGUUGCAUGACAUGGUGUGAAAAACUCCGGUGGUAUAAGAUGGACCCGCGUCUGAUUAGCUAGUUGGUGAGAUAACAGCCCACCAAGGCGACGAUCAGUAGCCGACCUGAGAGGGUGACCGGCCACAUUGGGACCGAGACACGGCCCAGACUCCUACGGGAGGCAGCAGUGGGGAAUAUUGCACAAUGGAGGAAACUCUGAUGCAGCGACGCCGCGUGAGUGAAGAAGUAAUUCGUUAUGUAAAGCUCUAUCAGCAGGGAAGAUAGUGACGGUACCUGACUAAGAAGCUCCGGCUAAAUACGU
This 480-nucleotide ribosomal RNA is filed under the name uncultured bacterium. Its description in RNAcentral is "partial 16S ribosomal RNA". It matches the Rfam family "Bacterial small subunit ribosomal RNA", at positions 28 to 506 of the family's 1533-position model. The record is from RNAcentral.